RNAcentral lists this ribosomal RNA (253 nucleotides) under uncultured bacterium. RNAcentral describes it as "partial 16S ribosomal RNA". It matches the Rfam family "Bacterial small subunit ribosomal RNA", at positions 524 to 776 of the family's 1533-position model. The record is from RNAcentral.
UACAGAGGUCCCAAGCGUUGUUCGGAUUCAUUGGGCGUAAAGGGUGCGUAGAUGGCGCCGUAAGUCAGGUGUGAAAUCUCGGGGCUUAACUCCGAAACUGCAUUUGAUACUGCGGUGCUUGAGGACUGGAGAGGAGACUGGAAUUUACGGUGUAGCAGUGAAAUGCGUAGAGAUCGUAAGGAAGACCAGUGGCGAAGGCGGGUCUCUGGACAGUUCCUGACACUGAGGCACGAAGGCCAGGGGAGCAAACGGG